This 486-nucleotide ribosomal RNA is filed under the name uncultured bacterium. RNAcentral describes it as "bacterial SSU rRNA". It matches the Rfam family "Bacterial small subunit ribosomal RNA", at positions 30 to 507 of the family's 1533-position model. The record is from RNAcentral.
AUUGAACGCUGGCGGAAUGCUUUACACAUGCAAGUCGAACGGCAGCAUAGGUGCUUGCACCUGAUGGCGAGUGGCGAACGGGUGAGUAAUACAUCGGAACGUGCCCGGUCGUGGGGGAUAACGUAGCGAAAGUUACGCUAAUACCGCAUACGAUCUACGGAUGAAAGCGGGGGACCGUAAGGCCUCGCGCGAUUGGAGCGGCCGAUGUUAGAUUAGGUAGUUGGUGGGGUAAAGGCUCACCAAGCCGACGAUCUAUAGCUGGUCUGAGAGGAUGAUCAGCCACACUGGGACUGAGACACGGCCCAGACUCCUACGGGAGGCAGCAGUGGGGAAUUUUGGACAAUGGGCGCAAGCCUGAUCCAGCCAUUCCGCGUGCAGGACGAAGGCCUUCGGGUUGUAAACUGCUUUUGUACAGAACGAAAAGCUCUGGGUUAAUACCCUGGGGUCAUGACGGUACUGUAAGAAUAAGCACCGGCUAACUACGUG